Molecule: small RNA, 89 nt
Filed under: Salmonella enterica
Lineage: Bacteria; Pseudomonadati; Pseudomonadota; Gammaproteobacteria; Enterobacterales; Enterobacteriaceae
Description: partial RtT sRNA
Rfam family: RtT RNA
About the family: This family represents a bacterial cis-regulatory element known as RtT RNA. The exact function of RtT is unknown although it is thought that it may be involved in changing the cellular response in relation to amino acid starvation.
Source: RNAcentral
AUAUCUCUCUGUACGGGAAGGAUGAGAAGCUUCGACCAAGGUUCGAUUCGAGCGUCAGCGAGAAAGCGUUGCCGCAGGCAACGACCCGA